RNAcentral lists this ribosomal RNA (484 nucleotides) under uncultured bacterium. RNAcentral describes it as "partial 16S ribosomal RNA". It matches the Rfam family "Bacterial small subunit ribosomal RNA", at positions 30 to 507 of the family's 1533-position model. The record is from RNAcentral.
AUUGAACGCUGGCGGCAGGCCUAACACAUGCAAGUCGAGCGGAUGAAGGGAGCUUGCUCCUGGAUUCAGCGGCGGACGGGUGAGUAAUGCCUAGGAAUCUGCCUGGUAGUGGGGGAUAACGUCCGGAAACGGGCGCUAAUACCGCAUACGUCCUGAGGGAGAAAGUGGGGGAUCUUCGGACCUCACGCUAUCAGAUGAGCCUAGGUCGGAUUAGCUAGUUGGUGGGGUAAAGGCCUACCAAGGCGACGAUCCGCAACUGGUCUGAGAGGAUGAUCAGUCACACUGGAACUGAGACACGGUCCAGACUCCUGCGGGAGGCAGCAGUGGGGAAUAUUGGACAAUGGGCGAAAGCCUGAUCCAGCCAUGCCGCGUGUGUGAAGAAGGUCUUCGGAUUGUAAAGCACUUUAAGUUGGGAGGAAGGGCAGUAAGUUAAUACCUUGCUGUUUUGACGUUACCAACAGAAUAAGCACCGGCUAACUUCGUG